RNAcentral lists this non-coding RNA (30 nucleotides) under Homo sapiens (human). The record is from RNAcentral. Lineage: Eukaryota; Metazoa; Chordata; Mammalia; Primates; Hominidae.
UCCAGACCCAGAUGGUGUCUCACUGUGGCA